This 549-nucleotide ribosomal RNA is filed under the name uncultured bacterium. RNAcentral describes it as "bacterial SSU rRNA". It matches the Rfam family "Bacterial small subunit ribosomal RNA", at positions 356 to 896 of the family's 1533-position model. The record is from RNAcentral.
AGGGAAUCUUCGGCAAUGGACGGAAGUCUGACCGAGCAACGCCGCGUGAGUGAAGAAGGUUUUCGGAUCGUAAAGCUCUGUUGUAAGAGAAGAACGAGUGUGAGAGUGGAAAGUUCACACUGUGACGGUAUCUUACCAGAAAGGGACGGCUAACUACGUGCCAGCAGCCGCGGUAAUACGUAGGUCCCGAGCGUUGUCCGGAUUUAUUGGGCGUAAAGCGAGCGCAGGCGGUUAGAUAAGUCUGAAGUUAAAGGCUGUGGCUUAACCAUAGUACGCUUUGGAAACUGUUUAACUUGAGUGCAAGAGGGGGGAGUGGAAUUCCAUGUGUAGCGGUGAAAUGCGUAGAUAUAUGGAGGAACACCGGUGGCGAAAGCGGCUCUCUGGCUUGUAACUGACGCUGAGGCUCGAAAGCGUGGGGAGCAAACAGGAUUAGAUACCCUGGUAGUCCACGCCGUAAACGAUGAGUGCUAGGUGUUAGACCCUUUCCGGGGUUUAGUGCCGUAGCUAACGCAUUAAGCACUCCGCCUGGGGAGUACGACCGCAAGGUUG